RNAcentral lists this ribosomal RNA (422 nucleotides) under uncultured bacterium. RNAcentral describes it as "bacterial SSU rRNA". It matches the Rfam family "Bacterial small subunit ribosomal RNA", at positions 355 to 774 of the family's 1533-position model. The record is from RNAcentral.
UAAGGAAUAUUGGACAAUGGAGGCAACUCUGAUCCAGCCAUGCCGCGUGAAGGAAUAAGGCCCUAUGGGUUGUAAACUUCUUUUAGACGGGACAAAACCCCUUUACGUGUAAAGGGUUGAUGGUACUGUCAGAAUAAGCAUCGGCUAACUUCGUGCCAGCAGCCGCGGUAAUACGUAGGACCCAAGCGUUGUCCGGAUUUACUGGGUGUAAAGGGUGCGCAGGCGGAUGGGUAAGUCAGGGGUGAAAGUCUGCAGCUUAACUGUAGAAUUGCCUUUGAUACUGCUCAUCUUGAGUGUGGGAGAGGUUGAUGGAAUUCCAGGUGUAGCAGUGAAAUUCGUAGAUAUCUGGAAGAACACCAGUGGCGAAGGCGGUCAACUGGCCCAUAACUGACGCUCAUGCACGAAAGCGUGGGGAGCAAACA